AAAGCCCUUUUGGUACACUUUUGGUUGAACUCUGAAAAUGGCAUGUAUAGGACUACCCUUUUUGUAGUGGGUCAUGGACCCUUUGGAUUUGUAUAAUUUUGGAUAGCCAUGCGAAAAUGGCUUAUAUAUGUUUGAGCAUAAUAUUAUAAUCAUUUGGUAUGGAUAUGGUUAUUGAGAGGUGUGGAUAUGCUUAACAAGGAUUGGCCAU
RNAcentral lists this long non-coding RNA (208 nucleotides) under Gossypium barbadense (sea-island cotton). Its description in RNAcentral is "long non-coding RNA (GBAR_LNC002466)". Lineage: Eukaryota; Viridiplantae; Streptophyta; Magnoliopsida; Malvales; Malvaceae. The record is from RNAcentral.